UGGGGAAUAUUGGGCAAUGGGCGAAAGCCUGACCCAGCGACGCCGCGUGAGGGAAGAAGGUCUUCGGAUUGUAAACCCCUUUCAGCAGGGAAGAAGAAAGUGACGGUACCUGCAGAAGAAGUCACGGCUAACUACGUGCCAGCAGCCGCGGUAAUACGUAGGUGGCGAGCGUUAUCCGGAAUUACUGGGUGUAAAGGGUGUGUAGGCGGGUGUCAAGUCAGAUGUGAAAGCUGUGGGCUUAACCCACAAACUGCAUUUGAAACUGAUACUCUUGAGAGUGGGAGAGGUAAACGGAAUUCCUGGUGUAGUAGUGAAAUGCGUAGAUAUCAGGAGGAACACCGGUGGCGAAGGCGGUUUACUGGACCACAACUGACGCUGAGACACGAAAGCGUGGGGAGCAAACAGGAUUAGAUACCCUGGUAGU
RNAcentral lists this ribosomal RNA (424 nucleotides) under uncultured Saccharofermentans sp. RNAcentral describes it as "bacterial SSU rRNA". It matches the Rfam family "Bacterial small subunit ribosomal RNA", at positions 355 to 794 of the family's 1533-position model. The record is from RNAcentral. Lineage: Bacteria; Bacillati; Bacillota; Clostridia; Eubacteriales; Oscillospiraceae.